GGAGUCUCCAUUUGCCUCGUCCAUAGUUGUUGUCAAAAAGAAAAAUGGUGAUGUUCGAUUGUGGGUGGAUAACAGGAAGUUAAACAUGCAAACAAUCAAGGAUGCUUAUGCAUCGAGAUUGGGUAAUGUUACCAGAUUGAAAUGAAUGAGAGUGACAAGCAUAAAACCACUUAUGUGUGUCCAUUAGGUUUUUGGGAGUGGAAUCGGAUGCCGCAGGGGAUCACCAACGCGCUGAGCACAUUCCAGCGCUUAAUGGAAAAGUGCAUGGGUGACAUAAACCUGCGAGAAGUACUUGUUUUCCUAGAAGAUAUCAUUGUCUUUUCCAAAACUUUAGAGGAGCAAGGAAUGCGGCUUGCUAACGUCCUGAAUCACUUGCGAGAAAAUGGCCUCAAGUUGUCACCAGAGAAGUGUCGUUUUUUCCAAACAUCAGUGCGCUAUCUGGGAAACAUUGUUUCUCUUUUUUUUUUUUUUCCUUUUUUUUUUUUUGCGCCUGUCCCGUUUGGUUUUUUGCCAUCAGAAUUAUUGUCUAAAGGCAAAGAAAGAUGCCCAACGGAUUUACUUUACCAAAUUGACCAUCCCAGCCUUGCCGUAAUGGUCCAUUUGAUUCACCUUUUAUUGUUUAUUUUAUUUUCACUUGCUGAAUACGGGACAGACUUGACUGGGAGAAAAAAGGGGAGAAAGAAAGAGGGAAAGAGAAACAGCUGAGAAGAGGGACAGGGGAGAAGGGCAAAAAACAAAAACCAACAGAAUGGGCAGAAAAAAAAAAGAAAAGAAAAAGAAAAUGCAUAUAUCGAUCACCUGGAUCACCUGUUGAGAAAGAAAAAAGAAAACAAGCAGAAGAGAACAAGAGUAAUAGAAUAAACAACAUCACAAUGAUAUAUGGGAAUAUGACAGUAAAUACUAAAUAUUAAACAUUAUUGUGCAGCACAUAAGAUCAACAGAACACAGUGUGCUUUGAGGUAGGAGCCAAAAAGGGUGUAGUUUGUGGGUGUGAUCACCCGUGUGUAAACCUGUGAGCAUGGACGCGCUUGUUUUUUUAAAAGGUUCCUUCAUGUAAUGAUCUGCUAGAGGGUGUGGGGGGGCCACAGCCCCGUCCUCCAGGGCAUGAAGCAGGUAUGGAGGAGAUCAAAACUCCAGACAUCCAGAGGCCCUCAGAACACAAGUAUCUCCCCCUCCUGCAGAGAGAAUUCCUGAAGAGAGGAAAGCUCCUGCAAGAUGUGACAACCUCCCUCACCAGUUGAAGAGCCCCCCAGGUGGCUCGACGCACCGGCGGCACCCUGCGCCAGGGCUGGGCCCCCAUGCACCCACCCGCCCACAACCCCGGCAACACACCAACCAG
Molecule: long non-coding RNA, 1339 nt
Organism: Astatotilapia calliptera (eastern happy)
Lineage: Eukaryota; Metazoa; Chordata; Actinopteri; Cichliformes; Cichlidae
Source: Ensembl